UACGGAGGGUGCGAGCGUUGUCCGGAAUCAUUGGGCGUAAAGGGCGCGUAGGUGGCCCGGUCAGUCAGUGGUGAAAGCGCGGGGCUCAACCCCGCGUCGGCCAUUGAUACUGCUGGGCUGGAGCACUGUAGAGGCAGGCGGAAUUCCGGGUGUAGCGGUGGAAUGCGUAGAGAUCCGGAAGAACACCGGUGGCGAAGGCGGCCUGCUGGGCAGUUGCUGACACUGAGGCGCGACAGCGUGGGGAGCAAACAGG
Molecule: ribosomal RNA, 253 nt
Filed under: uncultured bacterium
Lineage: Bacteria
Description: partial 16S ribosomal RNA
Rfam family: Bacterial small subunit ribosomal RNA
Source: RNAcentral